Long non-coding RNA from Polyodon spathula (Mississippi paddlefish), 478 nucleotides. RefSeq lists it as uncharacterized. The record is from RefSeq and is a predicted model, not a curated record. NCBI's taxonomy places the organism in Eukaryota, Metazoa, Chordata, Actinopteri, Acipenseriformes, Polyodontidae. The transcript is spliced from 3 exons.
UUUCUACGUCAGAAAUCUGGCUGCGCUCAGGACCUUGACGCGGUCGACCUGGAAGUGGAUUUUCGCGUUCUGUAAACAUCCUCCAACAAUUUCUAUCUGUGCCUUGAAACACUUCAGCGAUAAACAGGACGAUGUUGAGGCUGAGGUUCCAGGUCCUGCGCAGCCUGCCCUCCAUGCUCUGCAGAUCCAUCUCUUCAGGUCCUGGCAGCUCCCCAGCUGGAGGCCAGGCUCCUGACAUGGCAGAAGGACAUUCACACUUGCUUGUGAAUGAUGGUGUGUUGGUAACCAUUCCUAAUUCAAGUUAUUGAAGCAUGUAGAUUACUAAGUGGUAUGAAGGAGAUGCAUGGGAGACAGCAGGAACGGGCUGCUCAAUUAGUCUAACACAAGCCCUAAGGAGGUUUACAAGGAAGACUAUUGCAUUAGAAGGAAAUCUAUUUCGUAUGGCAGUGGUUAAUUUUAGCAUGCAAACCUGUAUAGA